Molecule: non-coding RNA, 243 nt
Organism: Styela clava
Lineage: Eukaryota; Metazoa; Chordata; Ascidiacea; Stolidobranchia; Styelidae
Source: RefSeq, a predicted model, not a curated record
UUUGUUGUGCCGAUACACCUGCAUCACUGUCAGGUUGGUUGGAUGCAAAUUAUGAAGUUUGGACAUGGAAUAUAAUGGAGCAUUCGAAGGGUCCAAGUCAGAAAUUCUAGAGAAGUUGUCGAGUGGAAGUGAAUGUCCUCUUCGUCAUCCUAAAACUGAGAUUGUGCAUUUGGGGAAGCAUUUAGAAUGUUUAUCUUGCCAUGUCGCCGGGAAUGUUUUGCAUUGUUUCGCAAAAGUGAGUCA